This 577-nucleotide ribosomal RNA is filed under the name Clostridioides difficile. Its description in RNAcentral is "partial 23S ribosomal RNA". It matches the Rfam family "Bacterial large subunit ribosomal RNA", at positions 1918 to 2493 of the family's 2925-position model. Lineage: Bacteria; Bacillati; Bacillota; Clostridia; Peptostreptococcales; Peptostreptococcaceae. The record is from RNAcentral.
CCCCAGUAAACGGCGGCCGUAACUAUAACGGUCCUAAGGUAGCGAAAUUCCUUGUCGGGUAAGUUCCGACCCGCACGAAAGGCGUAACGAUUUGGGCACUGUCUCAACAACAGACUCGGUGAAAUUGUAAUUCCGGUGAAGAUGCCGGAUACCUGCGACAGGACGGAAAGACCCCAUGGAGCUUUACUGUAGCUUGACAUUGGGUCUUGGUACUACAUGUACAGGAUAGGUGGGAGGCUUUGAAACCAGGACGCCAGUUUUGGCGGAGCCAUCCUUGGGAUACCACCCUUGUAGUACUGGGACUCUAACCAUAGGCCAUGAAUCUGGUCUUGGGACACUGUCAGGUGGGCAGUUUGACUGGGGCGGUCGCCUCCCAAAAGGUAACGGAGGCGCUCAAAGGUUCUCUCAGUACGGUCGGAAAUCGUACGUAGAGUGUAAAGGCAAAAGAGAGCUUGAUUGCAAGACAUACAGGUCGAGCAAGGAUGAAAAUCGGACUUAGUGAUCCGGUGGUUCUGCGUGGAAGGGCCAUCGCUCAACGGAUAAAAGCUACCCUGGGGAUAACAGGCUUAUCUCCCCC